CAGAGACGGACUAAUCCGCCCACAGUGAAAACGUUUCAGACAUCUCAGUACAUGAGAAUCUAGCUACACAGACAGAGACUAGGAGGGAGAGGACAUGUGAGGCAAUAAAGAUUGACACAAUUAUGAGGACAAAAGGGGAUUUUUUGAAAUGAUGGUUAAGAGUGAUUUUAUUUUAAUCACCAUCUUUUUUUUUUAUCUCCAUGCCCCUCAACCUUGCAUUAGGACGUCAUGUGCUCUGCUCUCUCUACACCCUCCACCCCCACAUCAUCCCUCUCUCAUCCUCCCUCCUCUUCAUCUCUCUUCCAGUCAGACAGAGGCUUAUGUAGGUCAGUGCGUCUGGAUUCUGUCUGGAGCUGCAGAAAGCCUGAGAGCUCCAUGCCUGGUCCCCGUCGACCCCUGUAGAGGCUGCCCGAGCUGAGGACAACACUCCCUGGGCUACAAGAGGACAGAACUAGCCUGUCUGACCUGAUCCGCCCGAAGGAUGUCCCUGCAACGGAUGAAGAGGAUGAGGGAGGAGGGGGAUGCAGGGUGAUAUGGGGUGACUGAGUGAGAGAUCAGAUAGUUUAUUUGGUUAGCAUGCAGCUCUAAAUUGGUAUAUCUUUAUGGAGACAAGGCGUGGGAAACUGAACGGUGUUAACGCAGGAUAUGGGUGGUAUUGAAAUUGCAGUUGUCUUUGUGAUCUCGGUGAAGGGAAGCAAUGCGAGGGAUUUUUUUAAAAUGGAAAUGUUUCAUGCAAUGUUGCCUAUGCAUUCUAUGUACACCUCUUUCUACUCUCUGCCUAACCUAUUCAUUCUGCUUUAUUUCUGCAGCCCUAGGUCCUCCAUGUCUUCAAUCGUCGACGUUUCUGCAAAAAACCACAACAACUCAAGCAAACUACAAAUUCUGAUGGCAUGUCAUCCCCCAAAAAUAAAUAUGAAUUCUGUUUUCUGUCUUCUCUUGCAGUAUAUCCAUUUAUUUGAUGCUCCAUGGAUCCAGUUCUAUGCGAUGUCCUCUUCCAAAAACACUGAACGUCAAAAGUUCUAUUCCUCCAAGUCAUAUGCCGGAAGCCCUAUUGAUGAAACUAAAGAGCGCAAGGAUAUAAAAUUUUGCAAAAUAGAAAAAAGAUCUGUUGACGAACAUAUCUCCUGAUUCUGCUUUCCAUUUCCCCCGCUUCUCCUCUGCUCAUAUUUUCCGCUCCUUCCCACUCCACUGGCUUUUAGACAAUGCCCCCAAAAAAACGAUCGUUGUGUCAGAGAGUCUGAGAGUGGUUGAGUGCAUCUGUGAGAGUUGCUGAGUGUGUGAGUGAGUAUAUGUAUGUUUGUGAGUAAGUUUGGUAUGUGCGUAUUCAGUCUGCAGGAGCAAGAGUAUGUCACGCUCUCAUCAUCAGGUUAACAGCAUCAGGUCUCGUAUCUACAUGGAUAAACUGGUGUUUUGCUGGCUCUGUCUGCUGUGAAUUCCUGUGUGUGUGCUGAUUUUCGUUUUUCUGCAUUGCUGUGACACAGAAAUCAUCUUACCUGCCUCAUCAUCGCUAUCUGGGGCCAAAUUUUCCCAGUUUCCUUUAUUUGACUUAUUUGAUUUUUUUUUCCACGUUGACCUAAGCCCUUGGAUUACAGCAGCGAUGGAGGACUAAGAGAGGAAGGCUCAAAAGGAUUAUUUCUUCUCAACAACAAAUCUUUAAUGUCCUUUUUCCUCAUGCAUUGGAAUUAGUCUUGAUUCACCUGUGUUUUUUAUUGGUGUAUCAUCAAGGACACCCUCUCAAUUUAUCUUUGCAUUCACAUUACACUAAAUUGCCAUUUAUACUCUGUUGUAGGUCUAUGUAUCUAUGGCUCCAUGACUGUUACGUGCAUAAAUGGGAAAUGGAUGUAUAGGUUUUAAAAGGAAAAGAACUGGAGGAAGAAAGAAAACCAAAAAAAUGAUACUAUUUAGAGCUUUGUCAAAUGAAAGAAGAUUUCCAGUAUACAAAGUUGUACUUGGGGAGGCUGUGGCUCAGUUGGUAGAGUUGUUGUCUUUCAACCAUAAGGUUGAGGGUUAGAUCCCCAGUUCCUGCAACAACAUGUCCAAUGUGUCCUUGGAUUAACCCCAAAUUACUCUCACAGCUUUGUCAGUGGCAUAUGAAUGAGAUUAAUUACUUCUGAUAGUCUCACUACAUAGCAACCACUACAAUCAAUAUGUGAAUGUGUAGGUGUGACAUGUGGUGUAGAAGCACAUCUACAAUUGUAAAAUAUAAUGAAAAAUCAAGGCCUUAAAACCUCAAAAAGCUUCAGGGUAAUUACUGUAUAUUGGAUUGUAUUAUGUCUCCAUUUGUUUGUGACUUUACUGUUUUCUUCUUUACUAUCUCAAAGUAGGAUUCAUAUCUUGUCACUGAUGUACCACCAAAAGGAUUCAAAGUUUUAAGAACUGUAUGUUCCAUGGCAAUGUAACAAUAACAAAGAUUUUGUUGUCGUUGUGCAAGGGCUGACAGCAGUAGGAGGGUGAUCUGUUGAGAUGGCCACCUGCACUGUCUGCCACAUCCACACAAUAAACAGAGAUGAAAAACUGCCGAGAUGAGUCAUAGAGACAGAGAAAGGGACUGUGUGUAAUCAAAUCAGUCCUUAGUCUUCAGUUUUUCUGGAAAGGAACUUCCCAAUGGUUUAAGUUCUAUCAAUCCAUGAAAAGCUUCUAAUUCAGUUAGAGCUGGACACACAUAAAUAUAUUUAGACAGAAAAGCACACAGACACACACACAAACCUGCACACAUAUACACACACACACACACAGGCCUCAUUGUGGUUGACUGUAGCUCUAGUAAAUGGGUUUGUUUUAUUUAUUAUUUUUAUUAUUUUUUUCCCUUUAAUAGGAAGUUUUGGUGUCCAGAGGUUAGCAAACUUUUUUUCCCAUAAAAAUGAAAAGAUAACCAUUGAUUAUUAUUAUUAUUUUUUUUUAAUUGGUAAAAAAGCUCAACAUCAGUACAUCUUCCAUAAAAAUGAAAUGCCAUUGUGACUCUUGCUUGGAUCUCAUACACCAGAUAUGUAGCUCCAGUCUUACAUAACACUCCCUCAUAAUGACACCAACCCUUUGGGCAUCAACAGAGCUGAGACAAAUAUGCUGUAUUCUGGGUGAACACAUGGCUCAGACAGGACUGAAGCUGACAAAGCGACAGGUCAGUGUAAUUAAGCUCGGCAACCAAGGGCCUUGCAUGUGCUGCCUGAGAGCUGCGCCUCUCUCAUCAAGGUUGAGUUCUGACAUUUUUGUGUAUGACUUUUUACCCUGACAUAGAUAUAGUCAGGAAUUAAGAAUACACAUUGUUAGUGCACAAAUGACUUUUUUUGUAUGUAGAUCUAAUUAGACAAAAUAAAGACAGUUCAGCCUUUGAAAAAAAGGUAACUUAAA
Molecule: non-coding RNA, 3348 nt
Organism: Labrus bergylta (ballan wrasse)
Lineage: Eukaryota; Metazoa; Chordata; Actinopteri; Labriformes; Labridae
Source: RefSeq, a predicted model, not a curated record